RNAcentral lists this ribosomal RNA (615 nucleotides) under uncultured Legionella sp. RNAcentral's name for it is "bacterial SSU rRNA". It matches the Rfam family "Bacterial small subunit ribosomal RNA", at positions 242 to 849 of the family's 1533-position model. Lineage: Bacteria; Pseudomonadati; Pseudomonadota; Gammaproteobacteria; Legionellales; Legionellaceae. The record is from RNAcentral.
UAGCUAGUUGGUAGGGUAAAGGCCUACCAAGGCGACGAUCGGUAGCUGGUCUGAGAGGAUGGCCAGCCACACUGGAACUGAGACACGGUCCAGACUCCUACGGGAGGCAGCAGUGGGGAAUAUUGGACAAUGGGGGGAACCCUGAUCCAGCAAUGCCGCGUGUGUGAAGAAGGCCUGAGGGUUGUAAAGCACUUUCAGUGGGGAGGAGGUGUGUUUGAUUAAGAGUCGAGCACAUGGACGUUACCCACAGAAGAAGCACCGGCUAACUCCGUGCCAGCAGCCGCGGUAAUACGGAGGGUGCGAGCGUUAAUCGGAAUUACUGGGCGUAAAGGUGCGUAGGUGGUUUAUUAAGUUAUCUGUAAAAUCCCCGGGCUUAACCUGGGAAGGCCAGAUAAGACUGAUAGACUCGAGUAUGGGAGAGGGUAGUGGAAUUUCCGGUGUAGCGGUGAAAUGCGUAGAGAUCGGAAGGAACACCAGUGGCGAAGGCGGCUACCUGGCCUAAUACUGACACUGAGGCACGAAAGCGUGGGGAGCAAACAGGAUUAGAUACCCUGGUAGUCCACGCUGUAAACGAUGUCAACUAGCCGUUUUUUACAUAAAAGUAAGGAGUGGCGC